RNAcentral lists this ribosomal RNA (497 nucleotides) under uncultured bacterium. Its description in RNAcentral is "partial 16S ribosomal RNA". It matches the Rfam family "Bacterial small subunit ribosomal RNA", at positions 36 to 507 of the family's 1533-position model. The record is from RNAcentral.
UCUUCCCUCUUUCUUCGUGCCUAAUACAUGCAAGUCGAGCGAACGGACGAGAAGCUUGCUUUUCUGAUGUUAGCGGCGGACGGGUGAGUAACACGUGGAUAACCUACCUAUAAGACUGGGAUAACUUCGGGAAACCGGAGCUAAUACCGGAUAAUAUUUUGAACCGCAUGGUUCAAAAGUGAAAGACGGUCUUGCUGUCACUUAUAGAUGGAUCCGCGCUGCAUUAGCUAGUUGGUAAGGUAACGGCUUACCAAGGCAACGAUGCAUAGCCGACCUGAGAGGGUGAUCGGCCACACUGGAACUGAGACACGGUCCAGACUCCUACGGGAGGCAGCAGUAUGGAAUCUUCCGCAAUGGGCGAAAGCCUGACGGAGCAACGCCGCGUGAGUGAUGAAGGUCUUCGGAUCGUAAAACUCUGUUAUUAGGGAAGAACAUAUGUGUAAGUAACUGUGCACAUCUUGACGGUACCUAAUCAGAAAGCCACGGCUAACUACGUG